GUGCCUAAUACAUGCAAGUCGUACGCACUGGCCCAACUGAUUGAUGGUGCUUGCACCUGAUUGACGAUGGAUCACCAGUGAGUGGCGGACGGGUGAGUAACACGUAGGUAACCUGCCCCGGAGCGGGGGAUAACAUUUGGAAACAGAUGCUAAUACCGCAUAACAACAAAAGCCACAUGGCUUUUGUUUGAAAGAUGGCUUUGGCUAUCACUCUGGGAUGGACCUGCGGUGCAUUAGCUAGUUGGUAAGGUAACGGCUUACCAAGGCGAUGAUGCAUAGCCGAGUUGAGAGACUGAUCGGCCACAAUGGAACUGAGACACGGUCCAUACUCCUACGGGAGGCAGCAGUAGGGAAUCUUCCACAAUGGGCGCAAGCCUGAUGGAGCAACACCGCGUGAGUGAAGAAGGGUUUCGGCUCGUAAAGCUCUGUUGUUGGAGAAGAACGUGCGUGAGAGUAACUGUUCACGCAGUGACGGUAUCCAACCAGAAAGUCACGGCUAACUACGUGCCAGCAGCCGCGGUAAUACGUAGGUGGCAAGCGUUAUCCGGAUUUAUUGGGCGUAAAGCGAGCGCAGGCGGUUGCUUAGGUCUGAUGUGAAAGCCUUCGGCUUAACCGAAGAAGUGCAUCGGAAACCGGGCGACUUGAGUGCAGAAGAGGACAGUGGAACUCCAUGUGUAGCGGUGGAAUGCGUAGAUAUAUGGAAGAACACCAGUGGCGAAGGCGGCUGUCUGGUCUGCAACUGACGCUGAGGCUCGAAAGCAUGGGUAGCGAACAGGAUUAGAUACCCUGGUAGUCCAUGCCGUAAACGAUGAGUGCUAGGUGUUGGAGGGUUUCCGCCCUUCAGUGCCGGAGCUAACGCAUUAAGCACUCCGCCUGGGGAGUACGACCGCAAGGUUGAAACUCAAAGGAAUUGACGGGGGCCCGCACAAGCGGUGGAGCAUGUGGUUUAAUUCGAAGCUACGCGAAGAACCUUACCAGGUCUUGACAUCUUGCGCUAACCUUAGAGAUAAGGCGUUCCCUUCGGGGACGCAAUGACAGGUGGUGCAUGGUCGUCGUCAGCUCGUGUCGUGAGAUGUUGGGUUAAGUCCCGCAACGAGCGCAACCCUUGUUACUAGUUGCCAGCAUUAAGUUGGGCACUCUAGUGAGACUGCCGGUGACAAACCGGAGGAAGGUGGGGACGACGUCAGAUCAUCAUGCCCCUUAUGACCUGGGCUACACACGUGCUACAAUGGACGGUACAACGAGUCGCAAGCUCGCGAGAGUAAGCUAAUCUCUUAAAGCCGUUCUCAGUUCGGACUGUAGGCUGCAACUCGCCUACACGAAGUCGGAAUCGCUAGUAAUCGCGGAUCAGCAUGCCGCGGUGAAUACGUUCCCGGGCCUUGUACACACCGCCCGUCACACCAUGGGAGUUUGUAACGCCCAAAGUCGGUGGCCUAACCUUUAUGGAGGGAGCCG
RNAcentral lists this ribosomal RNA (1455 nucleotides) under Limosilactobacillus reuteri. Its description in RNAcentral is "Lactobacillus reuteri 16S ribosomal RNA". It matches the Rfam family "Bacterial small subunit ribosomal RNA". The record is from RNAcentral. Lineage: Bacteria; Bacillati; Bacillota; Bacilli; Lactobacillales; Lactobacillaceae.